Molecule: small RNA, 531 nt
Filed under: Pan troglodytes (chimpanzee)
Lineage: Eukaryota; Metazoa; Chordata; Mammalia; Primates; Hominidae
Description: processed transcript
Source: RNAcentral
AUUCGAGUUACAAAAUGGCCGCCCGGAGCGUGUUCGGCGCGGUUCCCCCAGCGGUCUCUGGCUGAACCGGCGCUCUCGCCUCCCUGCCGAACACAGCGUGAGGAUCCCCCCCAGGGACAUGGUGUUUGAGUCUCUGGGCUUGCCGAGCACCAACUCCUCUGAGUUCCGCAGCGCAGCACCGGAAGCGGCCGAGCGCGCUCAGCCCAGCGACCCCUGCGGGCUCCAGACCCCUGCGCCGCUGCGCCCCGGGUUUCGCCGCACCCAAGACCCAGCGAGUGCAGCGGCGGCCGCCGAGGAGACGGAGUCUUGCUCUGUCACAUAGGCUGGAGUGCAUUGGCGCGAUCUCAGCUCACUGCAACCUCCGCCUCCUGGGUUCAAGAGAUUCUCCUGCCUCAGCCUCCGGAGUAGCUGGGAUUGCAGGUUCGAAAACAUGGCCAAAAGAAAUGCCGAGAAGGAACUGACAGAUAGGAAUUGGGAUCAAGAAGAUGAAGCUGAAGAGGGUAAAAGAAGGGUUAUAAACUAAAGCCGAAG